AAAGUCGUAACAAGGUCUCCGUUGGUGAACCAGCGGAGGGAUCAUUACAGAGUUCUGAAAAGACUCCCAAACCAUUGUGAACAUACCCGUAACCGUGUUGCCUCGGCGGGCGGCCCCCUCACCGGGGCCGCUGCCUCCCUCGGGGGGUGCCCGCCGGAGCGCCAAAAACUAUACUGUAUUCUAGUGGCCUCUCUGAGAAAACAAGCAAAUAAGUUAAAACUUUCAACAACGGAUCUCUUGGUUCUG
RNAcentral lists this unclassified non-coding RNA (246 nucleotides) under Ascomycota sp. Its description in RNAcentral is "partial contains small subunit ribosomal RNA, internal transcribed spacer 1, and 5.8S ribosomal RNA". The stretch from base 1 to 47 matches the Rfam family "Eukaryotic small subunit ribosomal RNA", at positions 1785 to 1831 of the family's 1831-position model. Lineage: Eukaryota; Fungi; Ascomycota. The record is from RNAcentral.